UUUAGAAACUAGCUGCAUUGACAAUAUACUCUUGGGAUUGAGAUAUUUAUUAAAAGUCAACUAAAGGUUCAAAAUUGUGCUGGAAUGAGGAGGAAGGCUGAUACAACCUCUGCCCUUGUGAAACCUGACAGGGAGAAGCAAGAAGACAUCUUUCUACCACCGUCUAAAACUGGGAGACCCCGUCAUUACUUUAGUCACCUGGGAUUGGAAAGCAUACAGAUUUUCUAGCCCACAGAUCGACAACCAAGUGAUAUGUCU
RNAcentral lists this long non-coding RNA (258 nucleotides) under Vulpes vulpes (red fox). RNAcentral's name for it is "lncRNA (ENSVVUG00000023979.1)". The record is from RNAcentral. Lineage: Eukaryota; Metazoa; Chordata; Mammalia; Carnivora; Canidae.